Long non-coding RNA from Brassica napus (rape), 4075 nucleotides. RefSeq lists it as uncharacterized. NCBI's taxonomy places the organism in Eukaryota, Viridiplantae, Streptophyta, Magnoliopsida, Brassicales, Brassicaceae. The transcript has 4 exons. The record is from RefSeq and is a predicted model, not a curated record.
AAUCAAAAACCUCUAAAUUCUAAAUCCAUUAUAAUGAUAAUUGCAGAGGUUAAUUCCAGUAAAUCCAUCUACGAAAAACAACAAUCCUAACUUUCUGUGAAGAACAAAAAACAUUACCCAGAAAAGGAAAGUGGACUUUUUAUGAGCUCAAUUUUGUUAAAUCAACUAAAAUUUGAGAAAUUAUUUAGCAUACUUAAUAGUUGGAGAAUUAAACUAUUAAUUUUAAAUACUCGAGGAAUUAUAUGGUCAUUUUCCCUGUGGUCUUUCGAUUCUCACUGUCUAGUUUUUGUUUUAUAAAUUUUUAAGAAAAUUUUCACCCGAUCUCUAUUUAGUUACGUUUAAUUUUUCUAAUAUAAAAUGUAAAAACGAAUUAUUAUAUUUAAAAAAUAUAUUUAUAUUUUUCCACAUAUGUUAUAACUUUCUUUUUCAAACAUAUAUAUAUAUAUAUAAUAAAAAAUAGGAAGAUGAAACAAAAGUAUUUCAUAUACUAUAUUUUUCGAGUUGAACAGAUAGAAUAUAAAUAAUGAUUCAUGUUAAUAGUAAUAGUUAAAUAGUACUAAUAUGAAUUGACUAGUUUAAAAUUUUGUGAAGACAAAAUUACAAGAUUCUAAAUCUAAUGCAAAAAUAAAAAAUUUCAUAUUCUUUUUUUUCCUCCAAAACCAAUGCAUAUUUCAUUUGUAAUGUGUUGUAAAUAUAAUGAUAUAACUAUUAUAUUUUAUUGAAUUAAUAUAGCAUGUUACUUUCUCUUCAUUCUUCCUUCUUCCUAAGUAUUCCUCUUCUUCUUUUUUUUUUUGUUUUUUUCAUCCCUCUUAUGUCUUCAUGUGGCUGAACAAAUAAACUGAAUCCGAAAAUUCGAACCAAAUCUAAUCCUAUAAAAAUGAAUCCGAACCGAUCUGAAACCGACAUAAAUACCGAAUGGAUUUUGUUUUAUGGUAUUUUAGGUUAUGAAUAUUAUCCGAACCGAACCCGAACCUAAAUGGAUAUCCGAUAGAACCCGAAACAUUCAAAAUCUCAAAAAAAAAGAAUUUGUACAAAACAAGAUCUCAUUUUCUAAUAUGUAUCCAAAAUACACUAAGGGGGUGUAUUCAACUAAGAGUUUCAAGUGAUUUGUAUUAAAAUGACAAAUCCACUGCUAUUCAAACAUUGAUUUUUAAAAACACUUUAAAAUCCAGUGUUAUUGAACUUGUCAUUUCAUAAAACACUCUGAAAUCCACUGUUAUUGAAUAAAAUUUAAGUUGAAGAUUUUAGAGUACUUUAAUUGUUUCUAGAGUGUUUGAGGGGAGUUCCUUAGUUAUAAAAAUAAAAAUUCAAAUCCCACUGUUUUAUAAGAGAUUCUAGAGUAUUUUAACAAAAAUCACACCAAAUUCUCUAAUUCUCUUGCAAUCAUCUACAAACUCAUUAAAAAUCAAAUUACUUCAAAUGUCAGAUUCAAUACACCCCCUAAGAGAUUAUUGACAUCUAAAAUAAUUAUCUAUUAUGUGAAGGUUGAUGGUUGAUGGUUGAAGGUGGCGAUUGAAUCUUGAAGUUUUUAGAUUUUGGUUUUGUUUUCAUUGAAUAAUGACUUUUAUUUCAUGAGAACUUAGUUUGCGUUUUAUGCUUUCAUUUAUUUGGUUUUGUUUCUAUCAAUAACUAUGUUUAUCUCUCGUUUAAUUUUGAUUGAUCACGUUUGAUGUUCUUUUCUUAUUUUUGAAUCGAUUUUACUUAUGUUUUGGUUACAAAAUAGGCACAAUCAAGUACUUUAAAACCAAAGAAUCUAUUUUACUUAUGUUUUGGUUACAAAGUAGAUAGAAAUCAAGUACUUUUAAACAAAUAAACAAUUGGGACCCGAACCCAAAAGUACAUCGGGUUCUACCAGUUCUUUGAAGAUUUACUAACUCCGACCCAAAUCUGAUAGAAUCCGAACCAGUCCUGAACCGAACUUUCAUAUAACCUGAAUGAGGUUUAUUUUGAUGAACCCAAAAAACCGAGACCCGAUUGGAACUCCGAAUACCCAUGCCUAUAUCUUUCAUUCUCCUCAUGUGCUCUCCUCUUCUUCCCCUUCCCUCUAUGUCCUCUUACUUCUCCUCCUUUUCCCUCAAUGCUCAUCUUUUUCCCUCUUUUUUUUCCUCCUCCACCUCCUCUCUUCUCUUCUUCACACGCUCGCUUUUCUCAUCUUCCACCUCCUCCCGGCUCUUGCCUCUUCCUUUUUCUCCUUCUUUUUUUUAAUAAAUUGAUCGAUCGAUCUACAAAUUUAUGAAAAUAAGUCCCCAAAAAUUUAUAUCUAAUAGCAAUAUAAUUUUCAUAUUUUUUAACAAUCAAUGUGUAUCUAUUAAUACUAUAAUAUAAAUAUUAUCAAUAUUAUUUUGUUUUAUGGAUAUAUAAUAGUAUUAUUCCUUCUUUUUUUUAUUUCUAUGAAUUGAUUGGUUAUAUUAUUUAUUUGAUAUACUAUUCUACUUCGUAGUUUUCCAGUGUAGAACAUUUAUGUUGAAUUUUCAAGUGCAUGCCAACUUUAUCACGGGACAUUAAUCCCACACCCAUUCGCGAAUCAUACAAUAACUAAAAGCUGAAUAUCUCAAGGGAGAGGCCCUCCACGUCGACAGAUAAAAUCGACCAAUGGGGUUUGUUCGUUUGUCCACGUCAAACAAACUUGGGCUGAUUUUGGGCUUCUAUGUUUUAUUGAUCCGUUCAAAAUAAAAGAAAGCUCAUCCUCUUAUAUAUAUAAAGAACAAACAAAUGAGGACGAAACUAUGCGUUUCAUUAAACCGUAGAAACGAAAUCAUCCGUCGACGGCUAUGCACUGGCUUUCGCGAUUCUUCUUGCGAUCUGAAACAAUUUGAUUAAUGGCUUUAUGAUAAAUCCAAUUGAUUCACCUCUCCACGAUCCAUCUUCUUCUUGAACUCAUCUUCUCUUUGUAUCUCUUAAAUCAUUCUCUGAUGAUCGCCAUAAAUAUCCCCUUCAGGUCUAUUUGAUUCUCUAUUGUUUUUUAUUUGUUAAUCUGAUGUUUUGGGGUCACUCUUACAGUAGGUUUGGUCACAGACGUAGCUCAUGCUUGCUGCUUAGGUGAUGAAGUCAGUCAUGGCGGUUGCCGAGGAAGGUAAGCACGACAGAUGAGUUAUUAUACUUUUUUAUGGAGUAACUGAUCAGAAAUUCAGAAAUAAAUACAGUAGAUGUGAGUUAUUAUAUUUUCUGAAUCUAUUUAUUUUAAUGUACUAGAGAAAAUGCCGGCCAGGAAAAAUGGAAUAUAGCCGAAAAACGCCACUGCGAUGAUCUCUAGACUGACUGUUGGCUUUCUAUUGAUAACCCUUCAGAUAUUUACAUCAUCCCCUCAUCGGGUAAGUAUGAAAAAGAUUCUACCAUGUUCAUCUGAUUAGAUUAAUCUAAACUCCUUUGUGUUGACCUGAGGCCAUCGUUUGGCUUACCCUCCAUGUCUUUAAGUUUCUUUCCAGAUGAUUCUACUUUCAGUAUUAGUUGCAGUUUUGAAUUAUAGUUUCCUUCUGUUUCUCCAGGUUUGUCUGGAUGUUUACUAAGCCUACCAUAUGUCCAUAUGAUUUAUUGUGACUCUCCAUGAGCAGAGCUUUUGCAGAUAACAAAGUCAUCGAGUUAGAUCCUACAUUGGCAAGAGCUUACCUCCGAAAGGGUACUGAAGCUAGAAGAAUAUUCUACUACUAAAGCAACACCAAAUGAUACCAAGUUUAAGAGGAUGAUAGAUGCAUUCAAUCUUCACAUUGCAUGUCUCAUUCAUCUUUUGUCUAUUUGGCAAUUAAACUUACUGAAGAAGUUGCAAGGGAUAAGCAAAGUUGCUUCUUCUUCAGGAAACAAGUAAGCAUCACCUCCUCUCUGAGAAAUGUUCCAUUGUUUCUUCGACUUUGGAUCAAUUUUCCGGAGGUUUUAACACUUUCACUGAAAAUUUUAAGGUUAGGUUGAUGUGUUCGUAUUGCAAGAAACACAAUGAAAAUUUUCACGAACGAAAAUAUGAUGGUAGAAACACUGACACCAAAGAAGUUGCUUAUUCUAGCUCUUCAAGAAGCUGAGAGAAAUGGAAAUAGCAUAUAUAUUAUCUGCCUUAUCCGUGUGGAGGAUUCAGAGGAUGAGGACC